GACGAACGCUGGCGGCGUGCUUAACACAUGCAAGUCGAGCGGUAAGGCCCUUUCGGGGGUACACGAGCGGCGAACGGGUGAGUAACACGUGGGUGACCUGCCCUUAGCUCUGGGAUAAGCCUGGGAAACUGGGUCUAAUACCGGAUAUGACUCCAUGACGCAUGUUGUGGGGUGGAAAGCCUUGUGCGGCUAGGGAUGGGCCCGCGGCCUAUCAGCUUGUUGGUGGGGUGAUGGCCUACCAAGGCGACGACGGGUAGCCGGCCUGAGAGGGCGACCGGCCACACUGGGACUGAGACACGGCCCAGACUCCUACGGGAGGCAGCAGUGGGGAAUCUUGCGCAAUGGGCGAAAGCCUGACG
RNAcentral lists this ribosomal RNA (359 nucleotides) under uncultured bacterium. RNAcentral describes it as "bacterial SSU rRNA". It matches the Rfam family "Bacterial small subunit ribosomal RNA", at positions 28 to 388 of the family's 1533-position model. The record is from RNAcentral.